CUAAUUCCCUGAGAAUACAAGCAGUUUUGAAAGAAUAUCAGCAUAAAGCUGGUGAGUUCAUAAGCAUUUAGUUUUAGUGAGAAAAUGUUCUUUGAAUCCAUUUGAAAAGUGUUCUUCAAGAAAAUCCUGUAUUUUCUUAUGAAAAGCGGUCUUGAANGUUGUAUGAUGAUAAUGUUGGUGAUGAUUGUGUUUUGUUUCAUAUAUAUAUUCAUUGUGAUAAUACAAUUGUUAGUCACACGAGCCCUCGGACGAUUCCGUCGUCUGGUUUGAGGGUGUGACAGGUUGGUAAAAGUACGUCGUGAUUAAAUUUGGACGGGAAAGAAAUCACGAUUAUGAAUAUUUAUUGAGGUUUUCAGACAUUACCAAUAAAGAGCAGGUUUNAGUUUUAUUACUUAAAAAAAACAAAUGAAGAAGAGAGUCCGUAAACAAAGUUAGUUUUACUUAUUUGCAAGUCGUAUAACCAUACUUGAUAUGACCGAGAGACCUUUAUAACGUUCUUCAGGAGUUAAGCUAAAUGACAUUUGUUCACCAUAGGCGUGCCCGCCUAACUGUAGCUAGCAGUUCUGGUGUGGGAUUGUCAAUCCCGAAUAGAUCUAUUCACAAAUAUCAUGCUCUCCCUCCAAGAGACUCUGGUUAUACUAAAAGGAUUUCUCACUAUACACCUAAGGGUACAAUAUUGAAGUAGCGGCUCACAAUUCUGUAUAAUCUAGUUUACUAGCGAGAAAUCAGCAUAAAACAUUAACUAUCCUUGAAUAAAUGUGCUUUAUAUUUCUGAGAAAAAGAUAUAACAUNGCCCUUGGAUAAUUUCUUUUGAAAUGCCCUUCACUACCACAGAGGUAACAUGUUGAACUAGCCCCAACAUAGGUAUUCAGAGUGACGAACUUGACUAGGGUCCUACAUCUAUUGGAGGUGUGCCCCUUCCUGUUGCAUCUGGUGCAAUGUAGCACUNCAUAAAACAUUAACUAUCCUUGAAUAAAUGUGCUUUAUAUUUCUGAGAAAAAGAUAUAACAUAAACUAAAUCUACCAUAGUUUAUACAUCUUCUUUUAUGAAAUCUGAAUAAGUAGAGAUGCCUAGAGGGUUAUCCCAAACUAUACCCGUUAUAGUUUAUUAGAGUUGAUAUAGAGUUGCUUUGUAAAAACCUUUCUGAAAGCUAUGAAGUUAGAUUUCCAAAAUAGUAGUUUCCCUUAUGCUCAACAUAUUACAAAAAGAGAUAAAUAUCCGAAUAUGUUAUUAAACGUGGAAAUCGUUGGACUGCAUUAAUAAGUUUAAAACUUAAUAAAAUACUUUGAAUUUGGCUUGUAUUCCCCCUGAAAACAUUAAAAAUAUGGAAAAUGUAGGGGUAUGAACUCACCUCGAGUGAUUUGAAUGAAGGAUCAGCAUGAAAAGUUGGGUGUUCAAGUGAAGCCUUGAACAUGAUUUGAUCCUAAUUAACAUGUAGUGAUACAUAAAGGAGUCAAAUGAAGGUAUUUCACCACUACAUGUAAUGAAGAACCACUCUAGGAACUUGGGACUACUUGCACAAGUGUUAGGACCUUAAAGGAUUGCGUUAAGUGAGUGUAUGGCCACCUUUAAGGUGUGUGCGGCCAGGCUGUUUGUGUGGUUGCACACAUGAGUGUGCGGCCAGGGUGUGUGUAUGGCUGCACACGGGAGUGUGUGUCGGUACACUCUACGUUUAUGCUCCAAACGUCGAUUUUUAAGUGCUUCAUGGCUCAAACCAACUCUAACUAAGAGAUAGAGGGCCAAAACUCUCACUUUGGAGGGAUUUUGAGGUGUGUACGGCCACCUUAUGAAGGUGUGUGGCCAUACACCUUCAAGUGAUGAACAACACGAAGAACAUGAAGAGUUUCAGGCUUAGAUUUAGGUGUUUUACCUGUAUAACAAGCUAAAUGAUGGAAUUCUUCAUGUUUUUGAGGCCCUUAGAGUGUUCUUGGAUGAAGUUUUUAGAGAGGGAAAGUAGAGUGCAACCAAAUGAAAGGAAUGAGUGAAGGGAUCACCCUGGGUGUGCGGCCAUACACUCGGGUGUGUGGCCACACACUCAUGUGUGCAGCCAUACACUCGGGUGUGUGGCCACACACUCAUGUGUGAAGCCAUACACUCGGGUGUGCAGCCACACACUCAUACGUGCAGCCAUACACUCGGGUGUGCAGCCAUACACUCGGGUGUACGGUCACACACUCGUGUGUGUGGCCACACACUCCUUUUGAUGGAGUGUUUGGCCAAUUUGCAACCCUAAAUCUUAAACCAGCCCAUCCCUAAUUCAAACUUUGGUUGUACUCAAGGCUUUAAAUGCUUAAAUGAGCCCUUAAUCAGUGCUAGGAGUUAAUAACAAUGAGUUUAACUUAGAUUAACUGACUAGAUGUACCGGGUAGAAGUUUUCGGGUUGUCACAUCAUCCCCCCGUUAGAGGAAAUUUUUCCCGAAAUUCAAGAAUAAGAAUAUAACUCAUGGCCUUGGAAAAGAUGGAGGUACUUAAGGUUCAUGUGAAUUGCAAAUGUCUCAUCGAACUAACACUUCUUUAGAUUCGAUACGUGGGAGGGGGAAUGGAAUUUGCUAAGUUCUCGAGGUAACUGGAGUUCGUACGUUUACUGGACCGACCCUAGCAAGGAUCUCGGAUGAUCCAAUGUAUCUUGGAUUUAGCUUUCUAUACUUUUUGCAGCGUUUCUGGCCUUUCCAGGGUGAGAUCUUCAAGGGAUACGUCCACCAAUUUCAGGGCUUGUGAGGGUGUUGUUGGGGACUUAAGUCUUGACUAGAUACGUGUCGCCCACCUCAGCCCAGCAGAGAUUGGAGCUGUACUUAGGACCAUAGAGGGCUUCGAACGGUGCAACCUCGAUUCUGGAAAGGUCGCCGUUGCUGCAAGAAAAUUCGAUUAACAAUAGAUGUGUGUCCCAUGACACAUCUUCAAUUAUCCGGAUGGUUCUCUUACUUUGUCCUUCUCUUUGUGGAUGAUACUCUUCGUAUGAAUACUUUCGGGUUUUGAAGAGAGAUGAAUUCUUUGAAGUUCGCAUCUGGUUGUUGUCACGAGCGAUGGGAGUUUCGCGAUCGAACGAUUUAAGACAAAAGGGUUUGGUAUAACAUAGAAUCAGUCGAACUAAGCGGGACGACGUCGUAGAGUCGCACGUUAAGUUAGUUUGGAAGGAUCGCUUUGUUAGAACAUUAAUGCCCCGGGGUGUAUGUCUCUGGUGUUUGUUGUGUUUGAUUCGAGGUUAAUAGGUACUACUAACACGAGGGUUCUAAUGUUUUGAAACUAUGAACUUUCAUGAAAUGGUUCUUACUAUAUCUCUCUAUGAUCAUUUGGUGCCUACAAGUCAUGUAUAGCUACAACUGACCCUAGCGUAUUCACUUAAGCUAUCAUGAUUUGCUUAUUAGGGCAUCAACUUUUAAAAGUACGUCGUGAUUAAAUUUGGACGGGAAAGAAAUCACGAUUAUGAAUAUUUAUUGAGGUUUUUAGACAUUACCAAUAAAGAGCAGGUUUCUUUGAUGCUUCCUCAUUCCUUGAGGUUAGACUCCUCCUGUUCCUCAUUGUUCUUCUCUGUUGGGCAGUCUCUUUUGAAAUGCCCCAUAUCGCCACAUGCACUGCACACUUGAACUAUGCUAGCAUCGGUAGUGGAAGUGAUGUAUUGAGUCGGGGUCUUCGCUAAGCGAGCUUCCUUGCCAUCCUUAGCCCUUGGACAAUUUCUUUUGAAAUGCCCUUCACUACCACAGAGGUAACAAGUUGAACUAGCCCCAACAUUGGUAUUUAGAGUGACGAACUUGACUAGGGUCCUACAUCUAUUGGAGGUGUGCCCCUUCCUGUUGCAUCUGGUGCAAUGUAGCACUCGAUAGACUCCAUGAUGAUGGUAGUUGCAUUUGCUGCAGUGCGGGAGGUUUCCGAAGUAGGGUGUGGUUGGUGUUGGAACAGUAGGGCUGACUAGGGUAUUGACUGCCCCAAUUCGUUGCCUUUCAGUAGGUCCUUGGGUUGAACAAGUUCCUUUGAACUUUCGUUUUAAGAGGUUAGGUUGGGGAUCAACGGUGUCCUUUCCAGUAGGCACUUGUUGUUGAGGUUGGUUAACACCAUGGUUUGGCCUGCCAUUAACACUUCUACUCGCAUUUGUGUUGUUAGCAUUAAGAACAGCUAGGGCGGCUACUACAGCUGCUGUGACAGUAGCUUGGAACGUAGGUGAGUCCAUCUGGAGGAUUGGGGCCUUACCAGUGGGUUGGUUCUGCUUCUUCGGAGGCAUGAUCUGCUAUGUGUCAAGAAAAGAGUUUGUGAACAACAAUGGUUGCCUCUGGAUGUAUCCUAAACGUUUAUCUAUGCACUAAGAUUUCUCGUUUUUUAUUCGACCCACAUCCCCAUGAUGUGGUCCUAGCAAGAAUAGAAAAUGAUUUGAACGCAAUAAAGUUCACAUAUAAUAACUUACAAACUUCUUGCAAUUCAGCUCAUUGCACUAGUUGGAUAACUCUCACAUUUUCGUCGGCUCUAGACGAUAUGGAGAUUUAGCUAUAAGGAUUGUUCCGGGGAUCGAGUCAAUGCAGGAUUCAACUAGACACUCAGAAGAAAUCCCUUGAAUGUCUUUGGGGAAGACAUCAGGAAAGUUGCAGACUUCGGAGAUGCUCUCGAGGCCUUUAAGUUUUUGCGUCUCAUCAACAACAUAAGCCAAGAAUGCAUGGCAUCCCUUUUUCGCAGAUACUUCUAGACUCUGGCGCAUGAAAUGAUACGAAGGUUUGAACAAAUUCUAUCACUAUGACCAGUGAGGACUUCGUCAGCGGGAAAGAUUGAAACGAAUCGCCCUUUCGAAGCAAAGGACAUCAGCACGAUUUAAGCUCAACUAUCUGAUGCCGAUUAUGACGUCGUAGCGUGUUAUGGAGACUGAUAUGAAAUCGAUGGGGAAAAGGAAUGAUCGUCUUAAGGUAAGAGUACUUCUUAUGACACAUGCUUCUAAGACGAAACGGUAGCAUGGCUUUGAUAAAGUUGCUUAAUUUUCAUGCUAUUGUUCUAAGGUAUACUUUUAAAAGAGAUCUUCUUUAACUGAAAUAUGGUUGUUGCCAUCAUAACUGAAAUGGAGAUUACCCAUAUUUCGGAACCCUUGACCUAAAACUAGGUCUAAGUUAUUCUAACAGGGAAAGAAUCUUGGCAACAUGAAGGACAGGGAUGUUUAUAGAGAAGAGCUACUUAGAAGUUAGAACAUAGAUAUGAAGGUUAUUCCUUAGAUAAAAAAGGAAGGAUGAGUAGAGUAUUAUCCUAUCAGCGAUGGACACUCCUCGAACGGAUCCUUAAGUUAGCCGGCUCGUGCUCCAUGUCAAGCAACUGGCUCUCGUAUACUGUCCGGCGUGCUCGGAGCUCUAUGAGCUUAGCUCUAUUGGUAGCUAACUCUCGAUGUAGGGCUUCAUUGUUCGUUGCAGCUCCCGCAUAAGCAAUCUCGAAGCAACGGAUGCGGUCCGUGGUGGUGUUCGAAUCAGCUUCGAGCUGGUGACUUGGUUUAGGUGCAUAUGAGGAAAGAACGUUUUCCUAACAAAAGGAAGAACAAAAGUUGAUGCCAAGAGCUGAAGGUCCUUACAAGCCUUUGUAAUUGGUUCAUGGUCUGAAUCCUUACAAGCCUUUUUAUUUGAUUCCAUUUCCAAAUGAUGAAUUGGUUCACAAGGAUGCUAAUGACAAGUAGAAGGCCAUGAUGAAACUAUACCAACAAGCUCGUGUGAAGAUUGAAUCCGUGAAUGACAUGUACACACAAAAUUCUAACAUGUAUAAGAAACCACGUGUCUUUCAAGUUGGUGACUUGGUUUAGGUGCAUAUGAGGAAAGAACGUUUUCCAAACAAAAGGAAGAACAAGUUGAUGCCAAGAGCUGAAGGUCCUUAUAAGCCUUCGUAAGUGGUGUAUGGUGUGAAUCCUUACAAGCCUUUGUAUUUGAUUCCAUUUCCAAAUGAUGAAUUGGUUCACAAGGAUGCAAAUGACAAUUUGAAGGCCAUGAUGUAACUACACCAACAAGUUUGUGUGAAGAUGGAAGCUGUGAAUGACAUGUACAAACAGAAUUCCAACAUGCAUAUGAAACCACGUGUCUUACAAGAUGGUGACUUGGUUUAGGUGCAUAUGAGGAAAGAAUAUUUUCCUAACAAAAGGAAGAACAAAAGUUGAUGCCAAGAGCUGAAGGUCCUUACAAGGUGGUGACACAUGUCAAUGAUAAUGCUUAUAAGGUGUAUCUGGGACGAGACCAUGGAGUGCAUGCUACCUUUAAUGUGGGAGACCUUUCAUGUAUCUUGUUGAGGAUGGCCUUGAUGAAUUAAGGUCAUUUCCUUUCAAAGAGGGAGGGGUGGAUCCAUGCAUGGCUCAUGAAAAGCCGAAAAAGGUGAUGGAUUAGUGAUUACUAGUAGGCUAGAAGGUGGUUUGUACUCAAUGGUUGGGUUGUGCAUGGUAACCUCUGUAUUGAAUUAGGGUCGCAUGAAGGCUAGGGCAACAUUUUAAAGGCUUAAUAAGUUCUCAAAACCAUUACUUUUGGCUUCAUCAAGCCUUUUAGCCAUUGUUGAUACUCUUCGGUGGAUUUGGGUUACAUUUUAAUGCUUCUUUUUGCUCCUUAAUGGAGCACGAACGCUUUUUUCAUUCAUUNNNNNNNNNNNNNNNNNNNNNNNNNNNNNNNNNNNNNNNNNNNNNNNNNNNNNNNNNNNNNNNNNNNNNNNNNNNNNNNNNNNNNNNNNNNNNNNNNNNNNNNNNNNNNNNNNNNNNNNNNNNNNNNNNNNNNNNNNNNNNNNNNNNNNNNNNNAGAGUGUCUAUUAGUAGAAAAUAAACCAUCAGUUUUAGAAAAACAUGUUAUCCAUCCUAAAGGUAGAGAUGCCAGUUUAGAAGUCCUUGAUUUCUAACAACAUAUAUAAAAGUAGUUUUAUUACUUAAAAUAAAACAAAUGAUGAAGAGAGUCCGUAAACAAAGUUAGUUUUACUUAUUUGCGAGUCGUAUAACCAUACUUGAUAUGAUCGAGAGACCUUUAUAACGUUCUUCAGGAGUUAAGCUAAAUGACAUUUGUUCAGCAUAGGCGUGCCCGCCUAACUGUAGCUAGCAGUUCUGGUGUGAGAUUGUUAGUCCCAAAUAGAGCUAUUCACAAAUCUCACACUUUC
This 7078-nucleotide long non-coding RNA is filed under the name Lactuca sativa (garden lettuce). RNAcentral's name for it is "long non-coding RNA (LSAT_LNC004272)". Lineage: Eukaryota; Viridiplantae; Streptophyta; Magnoliopsida; Asterales; Asteraceae. The record is from RNAcentral.